UGCCUAGGAAUCUGCCUGGUAGUGGGGGAUUACGUACGGAAACGGACGCUAAUACCGCAUACGUCCUACGGGAGAAAGCAGGGGACCUUCGGGCCUUGCGCUAUCAGCAUGAGCCUAGGUCGGAUUAGCUAGUUGGUGAGGUAAUGGCUCACCAAGGCGACGAUCCGUAACUGGUCUGAGAGGAUGAUCAGUCACACUGGAACUGAGACACGGUCCAGACUCCUACGGGAGGCAGCAGUGGGGAAUAUUGGACAAUGGGCGAAAAGCCUGAUCCAGCCAUGCCGCGUGUGUGAAGAAGGUCUUCGGAUUGUAAAGCACUUUAAGUUGGGAGGAAGGGC
This 338-nucleotide ribosomal RNA is filed under the name Pseudomonas sp. Its description in RNAcentral is "bacterial SSU rRNA". It matches the Rfam family "Bacterial small subunit ribosomal RNA", at positions 114 to 453 of the family's 1533-position model. Lineage: Bacteria; Pseudomonadati; Pseudomonadota; Gammaproteobacteria; Pseudomonadales; Pseudomonadaceae. The record is from RNAcentral.